This 468-nucleotide ribosomal RNA is filed under the name uncultured bacterium. RNAcentral's name for it is "partial 16S ribosomal RNA". It matches the Rfam family "Bacterial small subunit ribosomal RNA", at positions 28 to 507 of the family's 1533-position model. The record is from RNAcentral.
GACGAACGCUGGCGGCGUGCUUAACACAUGCAAGUCGAACGGAAAGGCCCUGCUUUUGUGGGGUGCUCGAGUGGCGAACGGGUGAGUAACACGUGAGUAACCUGCCCUUGACUUUGGGAUAACUUCAGGAAACUGGGGCUAAUACCGGAUAGGAGCUCCUGCUGCAUGGUGGGGGUUGGAAAGUUUCGGCGGUUGGGGAUGGACUCGCGGCUUAUCAGCUUGUUGGUGGGGUAGUGGCUUACCAAGGCUUUGACGGGUAGCCGGCCUGAGAGGGUGACCGGCCACACUGGGACUGAGACACGGCCCAGACUCCUACGGGAGGCAGCAGCGGGGAAUAUUGCACAAUGGGCGGAAGCCUGAUGCAGCAACGCCGCGUGCGGGAUGACGGCCUUCGGGUUGUAAACCGCUUUCGCCUGUGACGAAGCGUGAGUGACGGUAAUGGGUAAAGAAGCACCGGCUAACUACGUG